Molecule: ribosomal RNA, 468 nt
Filed under: uncultured bacterium
Lineage: Bacteria
Description: partial 16S ribosomal RNA
Rfam family: Bacterial small subunit ribosomal RNA
Source: RNAcentral
GAUGAACGCUGGCGGCGUGCUUAACACAUGCAAGUCGAACGGAAAGGCCCAAGCUUGCUUAGGUACUCGAGUGGCGAACGGGUGAGUAACACGUGGGUGAUCUGCCCUGCACUUCGGGAUAAGCCUUGGAAACUGGGUCUAAUACCGGAUAGGACGAUGGUUUGGAUGCCAUUGUGGAAAGUUUUUUCGGUGUGGGAUUAGCUCGCGGCCUAUCAGCUUGUUGGUGGGGUAAUGGCCUACCAACGCGUCGACGGGUAGCCGGCCUGAGAGAGUGUACGGCCACAUUGAGACUGAGAUACGGCCCAGACUCCUACGGGAGGCAGAAGUGGGGAAUAUUGCACAAUGGGCGCAAGCCUGAUGCAGCGACGCCGCGUGGGGGAUGACGGCCUUCGGGUUGUAGACUCCUUUCGCGAGGGACGAAGCGUUUUUGUGACGGUACCUGGAGAAGAAGCACCGGCUAACUACGUG